GACCUACUCACCCGUUCCCGGGUCCUGC
Molecule: small RNA, 28 nt
Filed under: Bombyx mori (domestic silkworm)
Lineage: Eukaryota; Metazoa; Arthropoda; Insecta; Lepidoptera; Bombycidae
Description: ovarian small RNA-15507
Source: RNAcentral